Molecule: ribosomal RNA, 433 nt
Filed under: uncultured bacterium
Lineage: Bacteria
Description: partial 16S ribosomal RNA
Rfam family: Bacterial small subunit ribosomal RNA
Source: RNAcentral
AACGAACGCUGGCGGCAUGCCUAACACAUGCAAGUCGAACGUAGGCUUCGGCCUUAGUGGCGCACGGGUGCGUAACGCGUGGGAAUCUGCCCUUUGCUUCGGAAUAACAGUUAGAAAUGACUGCUAAUACCGGAUGAUGUCGCAAGACCAAAGAUUUAUCGGCAAAGGAUGAGCCCGCGUAGGAUUAGCUAGUUGGUGGGGUAAAGGCCUACCAAGGCGACGAUCCUUAGCUGGUCUGAGAGGAUGAUCAGCCACACUGGGACUGAGACACGGCCCAGACUCCUACGGGAGGCAGCAGUGGGGAAUAUUGGACAAUGGGCGAAAGCCUGAUCCAGCAAUGCCGCGUGAGUGAUGAAGGCCUUAGGGUUGUAAAGCUCUUUUACCCGGGAUGAUAAUGACAGUACCGGGAGAAUAAGCUCCGGCUAACUCCGUG